RNAcentral lists this ribosomal RNA (1611 nucleotides) under human gut metagenome. RNAcentral describes it as "bacterial LSU rRNA". It matches the Rfam family "Bacterial large subunit ribosomal RNA", at positions 753 to 2451 of the family's 2925-position model. The record is from RNAcentral.
GAGGUAAAACUCCAUGGAGGGCCGAACCGACCUCCGUUGAAAAGGCGGCGGAUGAGAUGUGGCUAGCGGAGAAAUCCAAUCGAACCCGGAUAUAGCUGGUUCUCCCCGAAAUAGCUUUAGGGCUAGCGUUGUAUUAGAUUACCGGAGGUAAAGCACUGAAUGGGCUAGGGGCUGAGAAGUUACUGAACCCUAUCAAACUAAGAAUGCCGGAUAAUUGAUGUACAGCAGUCAGACUAUGUGAGAUAAGUCUCAUAGUCAAAAGGGAAACAGCCCAGACCCACAGCUAAGGUCCCAAAAUGGAUUUAAGUGGAAAAGGAUGUGGAAUUGCACAGACAACCAGGAUGUUGGCUUAGAAGCAGCCACUCAUUAAAAGAGUGCGUAAUAGCUCACUGGUCGAGUGACUCUGCGCCGAAAAUUCAACGGGGCUAAAAUUCAUACCGAAGCUUGGGCUUGACAGUAAUGUCAGGGGUAGGGGAGCGUCGUAUACGAGGUGAAGUCAUAGCGGAAGCGGUGGUGGAUUGUAUACGAGUGAGAAUGCCGGAAUGAGUAGCGAGAAUUAUGUGAGAAUCAUAAUGGCCGAAAGUCUAAGGUUUCCUGAGGAAGGUUCGUCCUCUCAGGGUUAGCCGGGAGCUAAGGUGAGGCGGAAACGCGUAGCCGAUGCACAUACGGUAGAAAUUCCGUAGCCUCCGAAGAUUUAAGCACAGGGACACUUUUGAAGGGCUGAGCCGGGCGUUGGUUGCCCCGGUCGAAAGGGACACGAUUGAGUGGAAGUCAGUUUGGAAAGAGGCGAGAAAAGCUGUGUGUAUAUGGAAGGAGCCCGUACCGCAAACCGACACAGGUAGACAGGAAGAAGAUUCUAAGGCCAGCGGGAGAAGGGUUGUUAAGGAACUCGGCAAGUUGACCCCGUAACUUCGGGAGAAGGGGUGCUUACGAAGGUAAGCCGCAGAGAAUAGGCCCAAGCGACUGUUUAGCAAAAACACAGCUCUAUGCUAAAUCGAAAGAUGACGUAUAUGGGGUGACACCUGCCCGGUGCUGGAAGGUUAAGAGGAGAUGUGAGAGCAUUGAAUUGAAGCCCCAGUAAACGGCGGCCGUAACUAUAACGGUCCUAAGGUAGCGAAAUUCCUUGUCAGGUAAGUUCUGACCCGCACGAAUGGUGUAACGAUUUGGGCACUGUCUCAACAACCCACCCGGCGAAAUUGUAGUACCGGUGAAGAUGCCGGUUACCCGCGACUAGACGGAAAGACCCCAUGGAGCUUCACUGCAGCUUAAUAUUGGAUUUCGGUAUUUCAUGUACAGGAUAGGUGGGAGACUGGGAAAUACAGGCGUCAGCUUGUAUGGAGUCAUUGUUGGGAUACCACUCUUGAGGUGCUGGAAUUCUAACCUGUGGCCUUGAAUCAGGUCAGGGGACAUUGUUAGGCGGGCAGUUUGACUGGGGCGGUCGCCUCCUAAAAGGUAACGGAGGCGCUCAAAGGUUCGCUCAGCAUGGACGGAAACCAUGCCAGAGAGUGCAAACGCAUAAGCGAGCCUAACUGCGAGACUGACGGGUCGAGCAGUAACGAAAGUUGGAGUUAGUUAAUCCGGCGGUAUAUGUGAGUGGAAUGCCGUCGCUCA